Molecule: long non-coding RNA, 2845 nt
Filed under: Marmota monax (woodchuck)
Lineage: Eukaryota; Metazoa; Chordata; Mammalia; Rodentia; Sciuridae
Source: RNAcentral
UUUCCUGUCAAAGAAUAGGAAGAUGGCUGGUGAAGUUUGGGGUGGGUAGUGGGAUAGAUAAGCAUUCCUUACCUGCAUUACAGACUAUUGAGAAAUUAAGGAUGUGGAAAACACUCCAAAAUUUACUAGAUAUGGCCCAGCUAGUCUCAAGCAAAAUGCCUGGAAUUAAAUGUUUUAUCAUUAACCAAAAAGAAGGGAAUUAAACUCCACAAGCUGGGAACUCAAGAAUGAAGACAAAGCAUAAGAAAACAAACUGAUGAAAACAAGAUAGAACAAACAAGAUAAAACAAAUUAAUGAAUUAGAAAACAGGAAAUCUGUUCAUUUUAAUAAAUACAUUGAAGACAAUAAAAUUAGAUACAAGUGGACCUGGAAAUGGAACAAAACAUCGAUUGAAGAAGCCACAGAGGAAGCUCUGUGUGAGUGUGUGUGUGUGUGUGUGUGUGUGAGGGGGGCACAAGGAGGAUGACAGACUUUACAACAUCGACAUGCACUUAUUUAACAUCAGUUUACUGAUCACAUGCUGUGUGCAAGGCACUUUUCUAAGCACUGGGAGCGUAACACUAACCAGAUGAAGAGCAAUGCCCUCAAUGCCAUUCUCAGCUCUAGUGAGCCUUGAGGUAAUGUCAGGUGGGAACCAGUAACAUCAGCUCAGCUAAGUCCCAAGGCUGGCCAAAGUGCCUGGAUCCCAAAAUGUAAGUUGAACAAACAAGAAAAUGCUGCAGCUCAGGUGAGAUGGUAAAGCAGGAGAUGAGAGGAAUUUAAACUUCUUUUCAGAAAGCCUGGAUCCAGAAGGCAGAAAAAGAACACAAAAACAUUAAUAUUUAUUUUUCAGUUUUAUUUUUUGAGAUGGGGUCAUGCUGUGUUACUGUGGCUUGUCCCAAACUCAUAAGUGAUCCUCUUGCCUCAGCCUCCUGAGUGCUGGGACUCCAGGCAUGUGCCAACCACACCUGGCUAGAAAAUUAAUAUUUAUUAAUGACCCAGGGAACCUAUCUACUCACCAGUGUGUCUGAAGGGCCAUGAGAUGGACUGACCAGCACCCAAUUACCCAAUCUCUUGAAACUAAGGACUUACUUUGGAGUGGGUCCCUCCUUCCCUCCCUUUCUGUUCCCUAUUCCAGGCCCCCAGGUAACAAGGAAUCUUUGCUAUGGAAAUUGGAGGCGUUUCCAGUUCCCAACCCUUAGGAGACUGUCUCUAUGGAAAUGGGACUCUCCCCAGGGGCCAUUGUGGAUCACCCCCAAACAGCCCUUGCCUGGUAGGCCUGUGGCAGCUGCCAUGUCUGGCUAGGCCAACUCAACAUCCUUGGAGGUCUGCUCAGAGCAGAGUUUCUGCAGAAAUGUUUCGUGGCCAGUUUCAAAGCACCGGGGAGAGCAGCUUGCCCUGUGUUGGCUGUGCGGCAUCUGUUUUCUCAGAAGCUGGAGAGAGCUCAGGGGACUCACAGGAAGACAUUUUCAACAUUAACAAUGGCCAACAUUUAUGUUGGUCCUCACUCCAUGCUUGGCAUGUUCUAAGUGCUUGACAUCCAUUAACUUAUUUAAUUCUGACAACUCUGUGUGACAUGUUCCAUUGCUGUGGUCCCAUUUUACAGGCCAGAAAGCUGAAUCCAGAGAUCAGAUACCUUGCCCAAAGUCCCAGUGGCGGGUAGGCCAAGCUUGGCAUUCAUAAAGCUCUUACAUGUGCUCAUGGCAAAUGCUCCAGGACUUCCCUCUCUGCUCCUUUUUGGACCUUGUGAACACCAGGAUGUGUUCAUAUCUGUAGAAGGGGAAAAAAGAAGCAGUUGCCCAAUUCUCUCUCCCUGAUUCUGACUCCCACUCCUUUUCCGAUGGCUUUUAUAUUUUUUUCCUGCAGAAGGCAUAACAAGUGAGCACUGAUUGCAGGGAUUUAGGACAACUGUGAGACUUGAGUUGUUGAAUUUGAAUGCGAGAGCCCUUCUGUACCUCCUGUAGGGAUUUCUGGGCCUAGAGGGUGAGCUGCUUGGAUAAUAGAUUGGCUUAGACUUGUCAUGAAACUCUGUCACUUAGGAGGACCAGAAGGACCUGGUGAGUCUGGGUGGGGACACAGGGACUUACGUACGGCUGUUCUGACCAUGUCCACAGUUUGGAUAAAGAGGAUGCUUCUCCAUGUGAGGCGUCCAACAGCCAAGACGUGAGGUUGUAGAUGGGAGAGGGUUGCAGAAGGAGUGGGCAUGGUCUGUUGGUCCAAAGCCAACUUUGCACUGGAAAUAAGGAAGAAACACUUAUCAGCUCAUUAAUUAUAGGAUGCAGUAGGAUUGGCUGUGCCUCUGGGUGUGGGGCAGUAACCUAAUGCUUUAAACAAACAGCCCUGUCACUCAACAAUAAUUAGCAGCAACAAUAAGCAUCUUCAUAGAACUAGAUUGAUAGGUGGCCGACAACACACAGCCCCAAGCCUGGCCUAGAACUGGGCUUGGUUGCCACACCUGUGGAGCCAGCCAGUGGUUUGGCCAGCCUACAGGAGCAUGCACAGAAGUGAUACAUUCUUUCUUCUUCUGCUGUUUGCUGAUAACUUGUUCUGUAGGAGGCACUGAGAGGAAGGAAAUGUGAGAUUUAGCAACAUUCUAGUGAAUUGAGGAGUCAAGAUUAAUCUUGAAAAGUUAAACAGCAGCACAAGAAAUAUUGUAUAUGUCAAAAUACAGAGUGUGAGUGCUCAGGGCCAAGUAGGACUUAGAGGCAGACUCUCCACCAGAUGAAAGGUGAGGUGGACUUGUGGUGGGGUCUGCAUUCCCUGUGAGAUUUCUGCCAGGACACACUGCAAUGCUUCUUCUCAAGAAGUAGGAAACACAGGAAGAAAUUUUUCAGAUUGUACAUAUUGUUCUGUGAUUUGCUUUUC